AGCAUCUUGCUGCCAUUGCUUCUUGUGUCCUCUGAUAGUGUUUAAGCCCUUUUGAACAGCAGCCCAUGGAAGGGGAUGGGUGGACAGACUGUCUAUUAAAACAGGAUCAAGGCCAUAAGAAUAACAGCAUGAGAACAAUGCGAGAACAACUGACAACAGAGGAAAACAGCUGUCCCAGAAAAGCUGGAAAACACUCUUACGGCAGCUUAGGAGAAAAGAACAUUGUACCUUGACAAGCACUGUGGUUUCCCAUCUCUGUCAAUGGGUUCAGCAAGUGACUCAGAGUGACACAUAAAUGAACAAUCAGCGCCGCUCCCUGCAGUGUCUGGCCAUUCAGAGAACUCCCUCACCACCCAUACAUCUUUGUGGUUUGAGAAGUCUGACAAGAUUGCCAUCAAAAGUGGAAAAUUCGGGAAAGCCCAACUCUGUUUUGACAUCAGCCACUGGUUUAAAAUGCCAAAGCACAGAGAAAGCAAAACCACGAAGAUACAGGAACUGCAACGCAACUGUUGUCAAGGAAAAUCAAACAGUCCAGGGUUUGUAAGCUCAGUUUUUCCUUACAGUCUAUCAAUGUAUAUUCAUGAGGAAGCUGGAGGGGAAAUGGCACAAGAGCUCUCUUCCUUGUGUGUACUCAGUGGAUGGUCCACCAAGAGCCUCGACCCUUGCUCUCAGGAAGGAGACGAGUCUAUCAUGUUCAAGAGAGGUGAAAGGUGCAAGAAGAAUGUCAAGCUCUCUGUCCAGCGGGUCCUUGAGGGACAGAUGAGCAGGCUCCAAGUCUUUCAACAGUGUUAUUGAACAUGCUCCUUCACAGCCAAUGUACUCUCCAGAUGCUACUUGGCAUCUGUGGUUAAAUCCAUGGAUGUUUGAUAUGCUCAGUACUGAUCAGGAAGAGUUAAACAGUCUCAUUUCUCCAAAGAAAACAAAAAGUCUCUUGUCUUCAAGGCAUCACAUAUUUUCAAGUGCCUCUAUACUUGAAUAUCCACCUGGAAGUCUUUUUGGGCUGGAUGCUUAAUGCCCCUGAACUUCACAGCUAUAAACAGUGUUAUGAAGCACUGUGGUUGUUCAGUGUUUGGGAAGGAGGAGAUGCCUGGUGUUGAAAUAUGCAUUUGAGGCAUCCUCUGAAAUACAGUGGAAAGGCAGUCAGCUAUUGUCCUUAAAUAAAGGGAAUAGGAGAGAGCAAACUAAAUCAUAUUUGGGUUUUGCCUUCAAAUCCAGCCAUUCAUGAUGCCUUCUUUUUACUCAAAAUGCAGCAUGCCUUGAGAUUUUGCCAUCUGCUCUUUCCUUUAGGAAAAGUCUGCUUUAUUUUACCUCCCUUGCAAAAAUUAACAUCAUAAUGAGGAAAGCACUUUGCUGUUCUGGUUUGCAGUACACCAGGAGACAAAACAACCCACAAGUCCAUGUCCUUGACUGAAUUGGCAGUGUCUUGGCACCCAUGUAUUUAUAACCUCUAAAAGGUAUCCACACCAAGUGAUAUGUGGGCUGGGGGAGCAGCAGUGCCAGAGAGUCACCUCUGUGUGCUGAAUGGUCAUCUUUGCAGAGGGAGUCGGUACUGUAACUUUUUUCGUGUGGGAACAUUAAUGACUGUACAUUGUUAUAUCUCGAGCCAUUGUCUGUACUUGUAUUUGGUAUCUUAAAGCUGCUGCCCCUGUGGAGGAAGAAGAGAUGACUUCUCUCCAUCCAUGGAAAUGCCACCAAGAACAGUCCCAGAUUAUGUGCUGAGUGCUUGAAUGUCCCCAUCUGGCCCAUAGGUCUGCCAAAGGUUUUAUAGAGGCUGUAGCCUAGAGGUGUUUGGGACAGGACCCAUAGCAUGGUGUAGACUGGCAAGUUGUAAUUGCACCUGUUUGGCUGAGGAUGACAUGAAAUGAAGCAUGGCAGCUAAGAGGAAAGCAAAUGCUGAUAUGAAAAUAACCCUUCUCCAUUUCAUUCCUCACCUAAGGUACAACAGCAAGGUAAUUUCUGAUAGAAAACAAACCACCUGCACUGAGGAGGCUGAAAAUAUAAGUUCAAGCACAGGGAUAAAUGGGGAAAAACAGGAUGGCACAGUCAUGGUCAUAGAUAGGCCAGAAUACAGAGGUGGCUCUUGAGCUGCUCCCCCAGCAGGUCACAGUGGUCAGCAAAUUUCUCAGGAAAAACAGGACAGGAAAACAACAGUUUUCAAGACAGAUUUGAAUCUCAAUCAAGUUUUUGCAGCAGAGAUCACGAAGACAUCACUUCAUGCUUAAAUGAACUAGAGAACUUAUUGAGGUAUUUGUAUGUGAUCAUGCCAAAUGUCCUGGGCAGUACCUGAUUAAACCCACUGCCAGCAGGAUGAGUAAAUCCAGCAGUAGAAAGGUGUUAAAAUGUUCCAUACUAGCCUUUGUGGAAGUAAACUGGUACUGGGUGCAGUAAAAGGCAAUCAAAUGUUAGUCCACAUGGAACUUGGGGGUUUUUUGUAGGGCCCAAUCUGGUACUGCUUUGAUAUAAAAAAAGUGAGAGAACGAAUAAAAAGAAAUACUGUUUGAUUUCCUGAUUAAAAUUGAGCUCCAUUUGUUUUGAAUGAAAAGUUUCUCUGUAGAACAGUGACUCAUAAGCUGUAAGUCAAAAAAGAAAAGAAGAAUUAAUCACCAGGAAAGGGAAAUACAAAAACAAAACCAA
Long non-coding RNA from Neopelma chrysocephalum (saffron-crested tyrant-manakin), 2634 nucleotides. RefSeq lists it as uncharacterized. The transcript has 3 exons. NCBI's taxonomy places the organism in Eukaryota, Metazoa, Chordata, Aves, Passeriformes, Pipridae. The record is from RefSeq and is a predicted model, not a curated record.